GAUGAACGCUGGCGGCGUGCUUAACACAUGCAAGUCGAACGAAGCAGAAGGGUGCUUGCAUCUUUUUGACUGAGUGGCGGACGGGUGAGUAACGCGUGGAGAACCUGCCUUACACAGGGGGAUAACGGCUGGAAACGGCUGCUAAUACCGCAUAAGCAUACGAUUUCGCAUGAAAUCGUGUGAAAAGAUUGUAUCGGUGUAAGAUGGCUCCGCGUCCGAUUAGUUAGUUGGCGGGGUAAUGGCCCACCAAGGCAGCGAUCGGUAGCCGGCCUGAGAGGGUGACCGGCCACAUUGGGACUGAGACACGGCCCAG
This 313-nucleotide ribosomal RNA is filed under the name uncultured bacterium. RNAcentral's name for it is "bacterial SSU rRNA". It matches the Rfam family "Bacterial small subunit ribosomal RNA", at positions 28 to 334 of the family's 1533-position model. The record is from RNAcentral.